RNAcentral lists this ribosomal RNA (579 nucleotides) under uncultured Cystofilobasidium. Its description in RNAcentral is "eukaryotic LSU rRNA". It matches the Rfam family "Eukaryotic large subunit ribosomal RNA", at positions 66 to 635 of the family's 3401-position model. The record is from RNAcentral. Lineage: Eukaryota; Fungi; Basidiomycota; Tremellomycetes; Cystofilobasidiales; Cystofilobasidiaceae.
UAACAAGGAUUCCCCUAGUAACGGCGAGUGAAGCGGGAAGAGCUCAAAUUUAAAAUCUGGCAGUCUACGAUUGUCCGAAUUGUAAUCUCGAGAAGUGUUUUCCGCGUUGGCCUGUGCACAAGUCCCUUGGAACAGGGCGUCAUAGAGGGUGAGAAUCCCGUCCUUGGCACAGAUACCCAAUGCUUUGUGAUACACUCUCAAUGAGUCGAGUUGUUUGGGAAUGCAGCUCAAAAUGGGAGGUAAAUUCCUUCUAAAGCUAAAUACUGGCGAGAGACCGAUAGCGAACAAGUACCGUGAGGGAAAGAUGAAAAGCACUUUGGAAAGAGAGUCAAACAGUACGUGAAAUUGUUGAAAGGGAAACGAUUGAAGUCAGUCGUGCCUGCCUAGAUUCAGCCUUCUGGUGUAUUUCUAGGUCGGCAGGUCAGCAUCAGUUUGGGAGGGUUAACAAGGGAAUUAGGAAUGUGGCAACCUCGGUUGUGUUAUAGCCUAGUUUCGUAUUGAUCUUGCUGGACUGAGGAACGCAGUGCGCCCGCAAGGGUAGGUCUUCGGACACUUUCGCACUUAGGAUGCUGGCGUAAU